This 607-nucleotide unclassified non-coding RNA is filed under the name Hevea brasiliensis (rubber tree). Lineage: Eukaryota; Viridiplantae; Streptophyta; Magnoliopsida; Malpighiales; Euphorbiaceae. The record is from RNAcentral.
CAGCAUACCAAUAACGCAACCACAAAAAUUGAAGAAGAAAGCUUUUGAAUAUGUUUUUUAGAAGAAGGUUUCUUUCUUUCCCCAUGGUAAUUGGAGCUGUAGUGAUUGGAGUUGGAGUUGUUUCUGGAAAAGCAAUAUUUGGGCCCCCACUUGAUGAGUACUGGAAAAAGAAGCUUCAGGAAGAUGCAGCUGCAAAAGACGCGGACACAAGCUCUACCUAGUAUACUGCAAUUGAAUUUCUCAUUAAUCCAUGCCAGUGUGAUUUGGGAAGUGGGAAAUCAUCACUUCCAGUUUGCUGACUGAAGAGGCAUACCAUGCAUAUUCGCUGCAUUCGAUACAAUAUAGAAUUUGGAUACAUCUCGGGGGUAUGGGGUCCCAGCUGCAUGCUUGGUAGGAUAGAAGGAACUCGGUUCAUUGCAUUAUUUGGAUGUUUUCUAGUCAAAGCAGAAAAAGCAUGGUGAAAAAAACCUUAUCUGCUGAAUGAUUUCCUGAGCGUCGCAUCCCAAUUAAUGUUGUUAUUGAAUUUGAAUUUUGAUAGUAUUACAAUGGUAGAAAGUGUUAAAAGUUUACCGAAUGCAGAACCUGAUCGACUAUUGCAUUUAUGUUU